GUGUUGCAACAUUCACGUAUAUAUAUGACGUACAACCCCAUUCCAUAGGCAGCAAAAACAUGUUGAAGAAAGUUCUCUUCGUACUGGCGGCGAUGGUAACUUUCCUGAUGAAUAUUUCGACUCCACCAGAUUUAAGUGAAGUAUUCCCAGACAUUGGACCCCCAAAAUCGUAGAGGCACUUUUCUUCGUACUGGCGGCGAUGGUAACUUUCCUAAUGAAUAUUACGACUGCAAAGCCACCAGAUUUAGGUGGAGUUUUCCCACACAUUGGACCCCGCAAAAUGUAA
Penaeus monodon (black tiger shrimp) is the source of this 286-nucleotide long non-coding RNA. RefSeq lists it as uncharacterized. The transcript is spliced from 5 exons. NCBI's taxonomy places the organism in Eukaryota, Metazoa, Arthropoda, Malacostraca, Decapoda, Penaeidae. The record is from RefSeq and is a predicted model, not a curated record.